RNAcentral lists this ribosomal RNA (492 nucleotides) under uncultured bacterium. RNAcentral describes it as "partial 16S ribosomal RNA". It matches the Rfam family "Bacterial small subunit ribosomal RNA", at positions 29 to 507 of the family's 1533-position model. The record is from RNAcentral.
AGUGAACGCUGGCGGUAGGCCUAACACAUGCAAGUCGAACGGCAGCACAGUAAGAGCUUGCUCUUACGGGUGGCGAGUGGCGGACGGGUGAGGAAUACAUCGGAAUCUACUUUUUCGUGGGUGAUAACGUAGGGAAACUUACGCUAAUACCGCAUACGACCUACGGGUGAAAGCAGGGGAUCUUCGGACCUUUCGCGAUUGAAUGAGCCGAUGUCGGAUUAGCUAGUUGGCGGGGUAAAGGCCCACCAAGGCGACGAUCCGUAGCUGGUCUGAGAGGAUGAUCAGCCACACUGGAACUGAGACACGGUCCAGACUCCUACGGGAGGCAGCAGUGGGGAAUAUUGGACAAUGGGCGAAAGCCUGAUACAGCCAUACCGCGUGGGUGAAGAAGGCCUUCGGGUUGUAAAGCCAUUUUGUUGGGAAAGAAAAGAAGCAGGUUAAUACCCAGAUGUUCUGACGGUACCCAAAGAAUAAGCACCGGCUAACUUCGUG